AAAAAGGGUGUCUUCCGCUUACAUGGAACAUCGGAUCCUAAGGGUUCUGGUGAGGUAUGGCCAUCAAUACAUACCUGACACGUAAUUUUUAGAACCGCGGGCAGUUGGCUACCAUCGAGUGCCGGCGCCUGC
Small nuclear RNA from Aphis gossypii (cotton aphid), 132 nucleotides. RefSeq annotates it as U11 spliceosomal RNA. The record is from RefSeq and is a predicted model, not a curated record. Lineage: Eukaryota; Metazoa; Arthropoda; Insecta; Hemiptera; Aphididae. The transcript has a single exon.